Small nucleolar RNA from Melanotaenia boesemani (Boeseman's rainbowfish), 133 nucleotides. RefSeq annotates it as small nucleolar RNA SNORA68. The transcript has a single exon. Lineage: Eukaryota; Metazoa; Chordata; Actinopteri; Atheriniformes; Melanotaeniidae. The record is from RefSeq and is a predicted model, not a curated record.
UCUGCACCCAAACCCAAAGGUCACGCCGUGUUCAGUGGUGUGAUUUUGUCUGGUGUGCAAACAGAAAAUUGAUCCUUGUCGCCUUUCUUUGAUGCUGCAGUGCCUUUGAAAGUGAAUUCAAGGUUCAACACGC